AAUCAACGCUGGCGGCGUGCCUCAGACAUGCAAGUCGAACGAUUAAACUUUCCUUCGGGAAAGAUAUAAAGUGGCGCACGGGUGAGUAACACGUAAGUAAUCUACCUUCGAGUGGGGAAUAACGUUCGGAAACGAACGCUAAUACCGCAUAAUGCAGCGGCACCUAAUGGUGACAGUUGUUAAAGGAGCAAUUCGCUUGAAGAGGAGCUUGCGGCAGAUUAGCUAGUGGCAAGGUAACGGCUUACCAAGGCUACGAUCUGUAACCGGUCUAAGAGGACGGUCGGUCACACUGACACUGAAUAACGGGUCAGACUCCUACGGGAGGCAGCAGUCGGGAAUUUUGGGCAAUGGGCGAAAGCCUGACCCAGCAACGCCGCGUGAAGGAUGAAGUAUUUCGGUAUGUAAAA
RNAcentral lists this ribosomal RNA (407 nucleotides) under uncultured bacterium. Its description in RNAcentral is "bacterial SSU rRNA". It matches the Rfam family "Bacterial small subunit ribosomal RNA", at positions 32 to 430 of the family's 1533-position model. The record is from RNAcentral.